This 429-nucleotide ribosomal RNA is filed under the name Chloroflexota bacterium. RNAcentral describes it as "Chloroflexi bacterium partial 16S ribosomal RNA". It matches the Rfam family "Bacterial small subunit ribosomal RNA", at positions 355 to 776 of the family's 1533-position model. The record is from RNAcentral. Lineage: Bacteria; Bacillati; Chloroflexota.
UGGGGAAUAUUGCACAAUGGGCGCAAGCCUGAUGCAGCCAUGCCGCGUGUAUGAAGAAGGCCUUCGGGUUGUAAAGUACUUUCAGCGGGGAGGAAGGGAGUAAAGUUAAUACCUUUGCUCAUUGACGUUACCCGCAGAAGAAGCACCGGCUAACUCCGUGCCAGCAGCCGCGGUAAUACGGAGGGUGCAAGCGUUAAUCGGAAUUACUGGGCGUAAAGCGCACGCAGGCGGUUUGUUAAGUCAGAUGUGAAAUCCUCGGGCUCAACCUGGGAACUGCAUCUGAUACUGGCAAGCUUGAGUCUCGUAGAAGGGGGUAGAAUUCCAGGUGUAGCGGUGAAAUGCGUAGAGAUCUGGAGGAAUACCGGUGGCGAAGGCGGCCCCCUGGACGAAGACUGACGCUCAGGUGCGAAAGCGUGGGGAGCAAACAGG